CAGUCGCCACGGGAAUACAGAGGGUGCGAGCGUUAAUCGGAUUUACUGGGCGUAAAGCGUGCGUAGGCGGCUUUUUAAGUCGGAUGUGAAAUCCCUGAGCUUAACUUAGGAAUUGCAUUCGAUACUUGGAAGCUAGAGUAUGGGAGAGGAUGGUAGAAUUCCAGGUGUAGCGGUGAAAUGCGUAGAGAUCUGGAGGAAUACCGAUGGCGAAGGCAGCCAUCUGGCCUAAUACUGACGCUGAGGUACGAAAGCAUGGGGAGCAAACAGGAUUAGAUACCCGAGUAGUCCCUGUCUCUUAUAC
This 301-nucleotide ribosomal RNA is filed under the name uncultured bacterium. RNAcentral's name for it is "partial 16S ribosomal RNA". It matches the Rfam family "Bacterial small subunit ribosomal RNA", at positions 509 to 807 of the family's 1533-position model. The record is from RNAcentral.